Long non-coding RNA from Balaenoptera ricei (Rice's whale), 250 nucleotides. RefSeq lists it as uncharacterized. The record is from RefSeq and is a predicted model, not a curated record. Lineage: Eukaryota; Metazoa; Chordata; Mammalia; Artiodactyla; Balaenopteridae. The transcript has 3 exons.
UGGAUCUGCCCUGUAUAUGGGGCAGCUGGUUUCAAGACUUAGAGAAAUGUCUACAGACUCUCUCAUACCAGAAUGAUGGAACCCAAACAGGGAAAUUGGCCAGAAGCAGCAGUGGCUUCAGGCUUGGUGAAGUGGACCAAAGUGUGAAGAAGUUCUUCCAAACAAUGUGGCCAUUUCUUCUCAGACGUCGGACAUACUAUAUCUGUUACCUGGUUUCCCAUCCAUCCACUUCCUGCGUGUCCAGAAUUCU